Molecule: ribosomal RNA, 857 nt
Filed under: uncultured archaeon
Lineage: Archaea
Description: bacterial SSU rRNA
Rfam family: Archaeal small subunit ribosomal RNA
Source: RNAcentral
CUGGUUGAUCCUGCCAGAGGCCACUGCUAUCGGGGUUUGACUAAGCCAUGCGAGUCGAGAGGUGCAAGACCUCGGCGAACUGCUCAGUAACACGUGGACAAUCUGCCCUGAAGAAGAGAAUAAUCCCGGGAAACUGGGGGUAAUGCUCUAUAGUCCGGGAGGACUGGAAUGUUCUCCGGAUGAAAGAUCCGUCGCUUCAGGAUGAGUCUGCAGCCGAUUAGGUAGUUGUUGGGGUAAAAGCCCAACAAGCCCGUAAUCGGUACGGGUUGUGGGAGCAAGAGCCCGGAGAUGGAUUCUGAGACACGAAUCCAGGCCCUACGGGGYGCAGCAGGCGCGAAAACUUUACAAUGCGGGCAACCGUGAUAAGGAAACCCCGAGUGCCAGCACAGGCUGGCUGUCCGCCAGUUUAAAACUCUGGUGAAGAAAGGGCCGGGCAAGACCGGUGCCAGCCGCCGCGGUAAUACCGGCGGCUCGAGUGGUGGCCGCUUUUACUGGGCUUAAAGGGUCCGUAGCUUGAUUCAUGGGUCCCUUGAGAAAUCUAUCGGCUUAACUGCUAGGCGUUCAGGGGAAACUGUGAUUCUAGGGACCGGGAGAGGUGAGAGGUACUGCCGGGGUAGGAGUGAAAUCCUGUAAUCCCGGUGGGACGACCUAUGGCGAAAGCAUCUCACCAGAACGGCUCCGACAGUGAGGGACGAAAGCUGGGGGAGCAAACCGGAUUAGAUACCCGGGUAGUCCCAGCUGUAAACGAUGCGCGUUAGUGUGUCAGUGACCACGUGUCACUGAGUGCCGAAGGAAACCGUGAAACGCGCCGCCUGGGGAGUACGGUCGCAAGGCUGAAACUUAAAGGAAUUGGCGGG